GAUGAUUGAGGAAGGUGGGAACAAGCGGAAGACCAUGGCAGAGAAGAGACAGCUCUUCAUAGAAAUGCGUGCUCAGAAUUUUGACGUGAUACGACUGUCAACGUACAGAACAGCUUGCAAGUUACGAUUCGUGCAGAAGCGAUGCAACCUCCAUCUCGUUGAUAUCUGGAACAUGAUUGAAGCUUUCCGAGACAAUGGCCUUAACACGCUGGACCACAGCACCGAGAUCAGUGUGUCCCGCCUGGAGACCGUCAUCUCUUCCAUCUACUAUCAGUUGAACAAGCGCCUUCCUUCUACUCACCAAAUCAGCGUGGAGCAGUCCAUCAGUCUCCUCCUCAACUUUAUGAUCGCCGCGUACGACAGUGAGGGCCGAGGCAAGUUGACCGUAUUUUCAGUUAAAGCUAUGUUAGCAACCAUGUGUGGUGGAAAAAUGCUGGACAAAUUGAGAUACAUUUUCUCCCAGAUGUCAGACUCCAGUGGCUUAAUGAUAUUUGGCAAGCUUGACCAGUUUCUGAAGGAAGCCCUGAAGCUCCCAACAGCUGUCUUUGAAGGGCCGUCCUUUGGUUACACGGAACACGCCGCCCGCACCUGUUUUCCACAGCAGAAGAAGAUAAUGCUGAAUAUGUUUUUGGAUACCAUGAUGGCCGACCCUCCUCCCCAGUGCCUUGUCUGGCUACCUCUCAUGCACAGGCUUGCCCAUGUUGAGAAUGUCUUCCAUCCUGUGGAAUGCUCCUACUGUCACUGCGAGAGCAUGAUGGGCUUCCGCUACCGCUGCCAGCAGUGCCACAACUACCAGCUCUGCCAGAACUGCUUUUGGCGUGGCCAUGCCAGUGGCCCUCACAGCAACCAGCACCAGAUGAAGGAGCAUUCCUCCUGGAAAUCCCCUGCAAAGAAGCUGAGCCAUGCAAUUAGUAAAUCUUUGGGAUGCGUACCCUCCAGAGAACCCCCACAUCCCGUCUUUCCCGAGCAGCCAGAGAAACCACUUGACCUUGCCCAUAUAGUUCCUCCUCGACCUCUGACCAAUAUGAAUGACACCGUGGUUAGCCACAUGUCCUCCGGAGUGCCCACUCCCACCAAGAGGUUACAGUAUAGCCAGGACAUGCCCAAUCUCUUGGCUGAUGAGCAUGCGCUGAUAGCCUCCUAUGUGGCCCGUCUGCAGCACUGCACACGUGUCCUGGACAGCCCUAGCCGACUGGAUGAGGAGCACCGGCUUAUAGCCCGCUAUGCUGCUCGUCUGGCUGCAGAGGCAGGAAACAUGAGUCGUCCUCCCGCUGAUGCCAGCUUCAACUUUGAUGCCAACAAACAGCAGAGGCAGCUCAUUGCAGAACUGGAAAACAAGAACAGAGAGAUCCUGCAGGAGAUCCAGCGCCUGCGGCUGGAGCACGAGCAGGCUUCCCAGCCCACUCCUGAGAAGGCCCAACAGAACCCCACACUGCUGGCGGAGCUGCGCUUGCUGAGGCAGAGGAAAGAUGAGCUGGAGCAGAGGAUGUCAGCGCUGCAGGAGAGUAGGCGGGAGCUGAUGGUGCAGCUGGAGGGGCUGAUGAAGCUGCUGAAGGAGGAAGAGCAAAAACAGGCAGCUCAAGCCACAGGGUCACCACACACAUCACCCACUCAUGGAGGAGGCCGCCCUAUGCCCAUGCCCGUGCGCUCCACAUCUGCCGGCUCCACCCCGACCCACGGCCCACAGGACUCACUGAGUGGAGUUGGGGGAGAUGUUCAGGAGGCCUUUGCACAAGGUUCGAGGAGGGACCUCCGCAAUGACCUGCUGGUGGCUGCUGACUCCAUUACCAGCACCAUGUCAUCCCUGGUGAAGGAGCUCCAUUCAGGAGAGCUUACACAUGUAUCCUGAUUGGCUUUCCCAGCUCAGGUUAGCUGAGGAGCCGCCAGGACACAAGAAGCUCAGGCACAGAGGCGGAGGAGCAAGCUGGCACCGACAAGACAAGGGAAGGCCUUCCC
RNA transcript from Psammomys obesus (fat sand rat), 1956 nucleotides. It is a transcript of the gene named dystrobrevin beta, with no coding region annotated. NCBI's taxonomy places the organism in Eukaryota, Metazoa, Chordata, Mammalia, Rodentia, Muridae. The record is from RefSeq and is a predicted model, not a curated record. The transcript has 20 exons.